UUAUUUUUUUUAGUAAAAUGAGUGUGUGAUUGAAGCUGCCGUUGUUGUUGGAGAUGGGAUGGUGGCGUUAGUCUUUUUAAAAUGCUGCUGUAUUUUGUAAUGUAUAUUUACUUGAAGAAAUGAUGUUCAAAAACAACUUCUUGCGCACUUGAUCAAUUUAUGACUAUUGAUUGGCAACAACCCUGAAGAAGAGGUUCAAAUUAGAACCUCUGCAUAUGUUUAGGUUUAGUCUAGAAAAUUGUUAUUAAGUAUGAACAUGUCCAGAGGUAGUUUCUACCAACACCAAUGAUAUAGGAUAAUGCCAACCUUAGAACGUAACAAUAAAACUUAACAGGAUAUAUUUAAACCAAAAGCAAAUUAUGUCCACUGAAAACGAACCACAAAAGAAGAAAUCUGCUAUUGUAAAAAAUGAAUAUUAUGCUGUCGAUAUUCGUAAAUACGUGGUUCAUGUACGAAAAGUAUCAACAUAAAUUGACACGAAGAUUUACUCCAAUGGAAUCACUAGCUACCACUGGCGAAACGUAAUAAUGUACAGAUGAACACUGAGGUAAAAAACGACAUACUUGAUGCAAAGAUAUAUAACACAGAAGAUCUAGGUGACACGUGGACUUUAUCGAUAUAUGCACAUGCGCAUCAAUACAUAAUAUAAUCGUUGGCCCUUAAGCAGGAUUCUAUGAAAAAAAAACUGUAAAAAGUUAGCACAACUAAUGCUUAACGAUCACGAAACUAUGAACAAGUACAGUGCAGAGUGCGAGUUACCUGUGAAGUAGAAGUCGAGUGUAAAGUUGGAGGCCAGAAUGUCCCAGUACAUACACGAGCGCCACCAGUCACACAGGAUGCCUCGGAUCACCUGGCGGCCCAUGUACAUCUGAAAGAGAUUUUUCAAGGCACAAUUAAUGUCGUAACAUCAUAUUUUUGGCCUUGGCGAAAUGAAGUGCCUGUUCCGUGUUGUAGAAAUGGGGUAUACCAGCGCCGGUCAUAUCCAUUCCGAACAACAGUUGGUUGUCGUCAUACUUCAGAACCGUGGCAGUCACCGUCUGAGAUAAAAGAGUGCUCAUCUUUUUCCUGCGGAAAUAGCGUGCUGCGACAUUUGAGAUCCGCGACUUCGUGUUGCAUGUUCAACUUAUAAAUCGAUCUUCUUCUGUUUAUUGUUUACUUUGUCAAGCGCGUUAUUGUGAAAUCGACGGUUUUGUUGAUUUUCUGAUUGUGUUCUUUUUUUUGUACAAAUAUUCUCAUCUCAGUGAAAGACUAUUUAGUGAUGUUUGAAUUAUGUCUAACUUGUGUUCGUUUUUGUUUGUGUGUGCAUAUGGACCAUCUUUUCAAUUGCGUAAUCAACAUUUUUUAAACUCUGCAUAUUGCUGGGAGUACAUGCAAUUGGGAGGACGGCAUUUUUGUUCUUUUCCUGGUGUA
Molecule: long non-coding RNA, 1410 nt
Organism: Dreissena polymorpha
Lineage: Eukaryota; Metazoa; Mollusca; Bivalvia; Myida; Dreissenidae
Exons: 3
Source: RefSeq, a predicted model, not a curated record